Molecule: ribosomal RNA, 1223 nt
Filed under: marine metagenome
Description: bacterial LSU rRNA
Rfam family: Bacterial large subunit ribosomal RNA
Source: RNAcentral
GAGGCAGAAAUGCGUAGUCGAUGGGAAACGGGUUAAUAUUCCCGUACUUCUAGUUACUGCGAUGGAGGGACGGAGAAGGCUAGGCCAGCACGGCGUUGGUUGUCCGUGUUUAAGGUUGUAGGCUGGUUUCUUAGGUAAAUCCGGGAGAUCAAGGCCGAGAGCUGAUGACGAGCGUUCUUUUAGAAUGCGAAGUGGUUGAUGCCAUGCUUCCAGGAAAAGCUUCUAAGCUUCAGGUAACUAGGAACCGUACCCCAAACCGACACAGGUGGUUAGGUAGAGAAUACCAAGGCGCUUGAGAGAACUCGGGUGAAGGAACUAGGCAAAAUGGCACCGUAACUUCGGGAGAAGGUGCGCCGGUGAGGGUGAAGUAUUUACUACGUAAGCCCAUGCCGGUCGAAGAUACCAGGCCGCUGCGACUGUUUAUUAAAAACACAGCACUCUGCAAACACGAAAGUGGACGUAUAGGGUGUGACGCCUGCCCGGUGCCGGAAGGUUAAUUGAUGGGGUUAGCGCAAGCGAAGCUCUUGAUCGAAGCCCCGGUAAACGGCGGCCGUAACUAUAACGGUCCUAAGGUAGCGAAAUUCCUUGUCGGGUAAGUUCCGACCUGCACGAAUGGCGUAACGAUGGCGGCGCUGUCUCCACCCGAGACUCAGUGAAAUUGAAAUCGCUGUGAAGAUGCAGUGUAUCCGCGGCUAGACGGAAAGACCCCGUGAACCUUUACUAUAGCUUUGCACUGGACUUUGAGCUUGCUUGUGUAGGAUAGGUGGGAGGCUUUGAAGUGGGGACGCCAGUUCUCAUGGAGCCAUCCUUGAAAUACCACCCUGGCAACCUUGAGGUUCUAACUCUGGUCCGUUAUCCGGAUCGAGGACAGUGUAUGGUGGGUAGUUUGACUGGGGCGGUCUCCUCCCAAAGAGUAACGGAGGAGUACGAAGGUGCGCUCAGACCGGUCGGAAAUCGGUCGUAGAGUAUAAAGGCAAAAGCGCGCUUGACUGCGAGACAGACACGUCGAGCAGGUACGAAAGUAGGUCUUAGUGAUCCGGUGGUUCUGUAUGGAAGGGCCAUCGCUCAACGGAUAAAAGGUACUCCGGGGAUAACAGGCUGAUACCGCCCAAGAGUUCAUAUCGACGGCGGUGUUUGGCACCUCGAUGUCGGCUCAUCACAUCCUGGGGCUGAAGCCGGUCCCAAGGGUAUGGCUGUUCGCCAUUUAAAGUGGUACGCGAGCU